CUCAUUUUCUGCUUUCUCUCUUAUUCUCUAGAGAGAGAAACUCUCUCAAAAUCGCUCUCCCCAACCGUGGGAGAUGAACCGACGAAUCCCUCUGGCCACCAGAGAUCGGUGGCCACGAGGAACCAAAUUGGCCUAGAACCCCUCUCUUAACCUUCCCUCUCUUUAGCCUCUGCCACUCUCUAAGAAAACCUAAAAAACUGAACCCCAAAACCAAAUACAAAAGGGACGAGACUUUUUACCUUCCUCUAGUGGGUUCCUUGGUCAGAUGAACGAUGGGUGACGAACGGGGUUAAAACAGCAUGACAGUGGCGGCGGUGCAGAGCCUAUUUCGUAUUGCUCGGUUGUGUACAAGACCAUUACCAAGAUAAUGGUGUAGAGAUUGGCUUUGGUUUUGCCGGAUUUGAUUUCCCUAAAGCAAACUGCAUUUGUGAAGGGUUGAAGCAUUAUUGAUAAUACUUUGCUUGCCCAAAAAUUAGUUAAAGGCUAUGCUAGAAAGACCUUAUACCCAAAGUAUUUUCUCAAGGUGGACUUGCAAAAGGCUUUUGAUUCGGGAUGUGACACGACUGCUACGGGAGCUAAAGUAAGCUGGAAGAAAGUUUGUACCUUAAAGUCGGAGGGGCUCUCGGAGUGAAGAAUAUGUUUACUUGGAUAAAAGCUUGCCUAUUUUUGUUUAUAAGGAAUAUUUUGAUUGGGGAGGGAUCCCUUUGGGUUGCUUGGUUGAAAGCUUAUGUCCUCAAAAGGGUAGAUUUUUGACAGGUGGAAUGCAAGUUUAAUGCUAGUUGGAUUUUUAUGACGUUGCUUGAUCUUCGAGGGGAGGCUCGUCCUUUGUUUGCUGCAAUGGACGUUCGUGCAAUCAAAUUAGCAUGGAUUUGGUCCUCUAUAUCGUGUGGUGGAGAUAGGGUUGCUUGGAGCAAAAUUAUUUGGUUCCCCCUGUAUGUUUCCAAAUUUGCUAUUAUUUGUUGGAUGGCAAUCCUAUGAAGGCUUCCAACGAGAGACAAGCUGCAUCAGAUGGGAUUGGAGGUGGAGUCUCAUCGUUGCAUUUGUGGUGUUGGAGAAGAGAGCAGAGAGCAUCCCUUUUUUGUUUGCCUAUAUUCCAUGCGGGUCUGGACUAUGGUUUUGAGUUGUUCCAUUUUUAGACAAAUUCUUAGUUGGGAAGAGGAGUUGGCUUGGGCCAUUCGUUCCUUCAAAGGUAAAUACUUUCUUACCUUCAUUCUUAAGUUAGCUUGGAGUGCACAUAUAUAUUGUAUAUGGGAGGAAAAGAAUUGUAGACAUUUUAGGAAUGUGUUUAGAUAUGAGGAUGAGAUUUUGGAGGUCAUUAGGGAUACAGUGCGUAUUAAAAUAGGAGGCAGGGUAUUCAAUCGGACUAAUACUGUAAAUGAGGACAUUUGUGUAAGGUGAGGUAUUAUUUAAAGCUUAUAGGCUUUUGU
Molecule: long non-coding RNA, 1427 nt
Organism: Hibiscus syriacus
Lineage: Eukaryota; Viridiplantae; Streptophyta; Magnoliopsida; Malvales; Malvaceae
Exons: 3
Source: RefSeq, a predicted model, not a curated record